Molecule: ribosomal RNA, 467 nt
Filed under: uncultured bacterium
Lineage: Bacteria
Description: partial 16S ribosomal RNA
Rfam family: Bacterial small subunit ribosomal RNA
Source: RNAcentral
GACGAACGCUGGCGGCGUGCUUAACACAUGCAAGUCGAACGGAAAGGCUCCAGCUUGCUGGAGUACUCGAGUGGCGAACGGGUGAGUAACACGUGGGUAAUCUGCCCUGCACUCUGGGAUAAGCCUGGGAAACUGGGUCUAAUAAUGGAUAUGACCUUUCUCCUUAUGGGGUUUGGUGGAAAGUUUUUCGGUGUAGGAUGAGCUCGCGGCCUAUCAGCUUGUUGGUGGGGUGAUGGCCUACCAAGGCGACGACGGGUAGCCGGCCUGAGAGGGUGAUCGGCCACAUUGGGACUGAGAUACGGCCCAGACUCCUACGGGAGGCAGCAGUGGGGAAUAUUGCACAAUGGGCGGAAGCCUGAUGCAGCGACGCCGCGUGAGGGAUGACGGCCUUCGGGUUGUAAACCUCUUUCAGCAGGGACGAAGCGUAAGUGACGGUACCUGCAGAAGAAGCACCGGCUAACUAUGUG